AGUCAAGAUAUUAGUCAAUGCUCGCAGAGUGAACUAGCUGAACUAGCUAACUGAAAUCACAUGUGUGUCAUAUGUGAUAAAGUAAGAGAGAAAAAUGAUGUUAUCUUACUAUUAGUGUCGUCCAAAACUGGUGCCAGAAGACUCGGUAAGGCCAGAGACGCAAACGUUAAUCGUCUUAAUCAGGCGUAAAGGGUUUGUAGGCUGCUUUGAAAAUCUUCUUUUUAACAUAGCCAAAGUAAAGAGAAGACCAAUUAAAGCUUGAAUCAAAUAGAGGUCAUAUGAAUAAUACUUAGAGGAGGGCUAAUAUCCAUAGAUCCUAAGGGGAAUACUCAAAGCGAAGGCUUUUUUCCACUAAUGAUUGACGCUGAGAAACGAAGGUGAGGAUAGGAAAUAGGAUUAGAUACCCAGAUACCCCUCUCUGUCAACGAUGAAUGGUAGUUAUUAGUUUUAUUACUGGUGACGAUGUUAACACGAUAACCAUUCCGCCUUGUGAGUACGACUGCAAAGUUGAAAACAAAAAAAUUAGG
Molecule: ribosomal RNA, 527 nt
Filed under: Bulbillomyces farinosus
Lineage: Eukaryota; Fungi; Basidiomycota; Agaricomycetes; Agaricales; Phyllotopsidaceae
Description: SSU rRNA
Rfam family: Bacterial small subunit ribosomal RNA
Source: RNAcentral